This 3359-nucleotide ribosomal RNA is filed under the name Triticum aestivum (bread wheat). Its description in RNAcentral is "partial small subunit ribosomal RNA". Lineage: Eukaryota; Viridiplantae; Streptophyta; Magnoliopsida; Poales; Poaceae. The record is from RNAcentral.
CGGGUUAGGUUAGCGGGCGUGAGGUGUUGGGAGGGAAGGAGGAGCUAGAGAGAGGGAGUCGGUGGUGUUUGGGAUCCAGGAGGGGAAGAUGGGAUGAGAGGUGGCGCGGCGGAGGAGGAGGGGAAGUGGUAAGGGAGGUCGCCGUCCGUGUCCCUCUGCUGCUGCCGCGAGCUAAACUCGGCGGGGCGAGGGGAGGGAGAGGUGACGCGGAGCCGGAGCCGGCGGGGCACGAGACGGCCGCGGGCAGCCGGAGCUAGGCCGGAACCGUCCUCCUCGAGCGGGAGCUCUGUCCUCCUCCCCUCGUCCUCCUAUGUCCUCGUACCGGAAGAAGAGCGCGACGUCGGUGGCCGGAACAGGACGAGCUCCUCCUCCUCGUCGUCCUCCCCGCGUGGGUCGGUGGUUCCAUCGGAAGCAGCUCCCGAAGAAUGUGGACUUGGAGCUAGAGGUGCCACGACCGCAGGUCGUUGAGUUCAAGUUCCCUUCCUCUCCUACUACUGCGGGUCUGUACCUCUCCUUGUUGUCGUCGAGUUCUACGAUUACACCGACGGUAUAGACACGGUUCGUCACGGACGAAUAUUUCACCACUUCGAUGUCCCUUCUCCCUCCUUCAGCCGCUGUCCCACUUCCUCGUCCGGCCGGGAGUACCUCCGUCGCGAUGGUCGGUCGAUCCCUCCGCCAGGCCGAGUGGAGACGAUACGGUACUCGCCGCCGCGAUGGAGACGGAGGUCAGAGUGGAGGAGACGGUUGGUAACCUUUUAAAUCCCCUCUGGGUUCCGCUCGAAGGGGAGACAACGUACGUGAGGACUAGAGAUUUCUAAAGACAUCGGAUUUACGGAUACAUGGUACAUUCGUUCGGGUUGGAUUACGUGUGGUAGUCGAACUACUUAAUGGUUUACCAAACAAAAACAACGUAUAUCUGGUAACUGCCCACACGUCCUCGGGAAGAUUAACCACGAGAUACACACAAAAGAAAAGAAAACAACGUCUUAUUAUUAAGUUCGCCUACCGGUUACGUGGAACCACAAAUCGUCAUACUACCAGCCACUUUCAUACAAUAUAUAUAUAUAACGUUCCUAGUAUUCUACGAAAAUGUGUACUAACACACUACGAGUCUCUGUAAAGCGUGUCAUCUUUGAAGAACACUUCGAACUAAAAUAAGUCCACGGAUUGACUGAUGGUGAAGGAGCCGCAAACACGAAUGGUCGUACGACAUUUGAAGAACACUUCGAGCGACAAAGUACACGGAUUGACUGACGGUGAAAGGUAUUAGUACGAAUAAACGUAGGUCUACCACUAAAACCCGACUUUCUAAUAACGUUCGAAUCUUAGAAAAUUUACGGGAAUAACUGUACUAAACAUACUAUUUGAAGGUUUUAUAAGUAAAUUGUAACGAUAAAAAGAAGUCUCGGUAUACUUAAAAAAAUAUCUUUGUACACGUCUCAUUUUACCUGUGUAGAAGACCAUGUAGACUCCAUAUCUUAGCCGUUAGAAGUAACUUACAACAUUGUAUAAAUGUUGAUCUAAGUUAAAAUUUAGUAUUUAUCUUCAGCAAAUUCAAAGCCUAUCAAUAUACUACACGGUACACGUACGAAAUGUCAAUGGAACGUUCACAGCACUACAACGUAUCUAUAAAGAAAUAGAUAUACUUACAACCUGGGACGCACUAACUAGAAUAAAACAAGGAUACACUCUUGAUCGAGAGGAAAUCAUCACAUCAUGAAGAUACGAUUUGACUUGGUCCUUACCAAACUAACACGAGACAUCCUGUCACACUAAAUAAAAGUAUCUUACAACAGUAGAUAUAGAACGACUUCAUGUCUUGAUAACCAGUCAAUUAAGAGAGUGAGUAGUUAAAUGUUUAAGUCAUGAGGGAAACAUUUGUUUAUAUCCUCACAAAUCUAGUGAUAAAAUCACUAGAUUUGCGAGAAUAUAAUUAAAUGCCUCCCUGAUAAAAUAAAGUGUACCCCGAACCGACCAAAUGCAAAUUAAGUACGUAGUAUAUACCAACAAAUCAAGUCUGAACACGUACACGUACGUAACCUUAACUAAAUUGUUUCUAUAUCGUACUAAUACAUGUAUUUUUAUCAUACUCAUACGUACUAGAUACUUAUUUACGAGCCUAUAUCAAUCAGUACUCUAUCAUCCUCAUAGUACUCGAAUGUUGGAGACCUAUACUAAUUAUGAAUUUACCGUACAUCAACAAGUUUUUAGACCUUACAGAAAGCUCUUGACAACUAGUCACAACGAUAUUCAUAAAGAGUCUCAAAACCAACGUACCUACAUGUAAUCUCAUCGUCUCCAAGAAUAAAAUGAAACAGGUCUUCUCCCCGAAAAUGAAUAAAAACAAGUGUUAAAAAUAGAUUGAAAGAUAGUCGUGGUUGCUGGUGUUACCCUACCUAGUUCGUCGGUUCUGAAUCUCACACCAGCCCGUCGCGGUACCCCGUCUAGACACGCCGCGUUCCCCGCCGUCUACGCUUUGACUUCGAAGGGACUUGAAGCCUCGUCAGUUAACUCUUCUACCUGUGCUGCUCACUCCUAACCACGAUGGCGGGGACCAUCCUCGGGUUACAGGAUUAGCUUGAUGACAGUACCUCUCCCGUUAUGCACCUAAACGAAGUCUAUAACCUCUGUUGCGGUAACACGGCUUCGAGCCUUGUUAGAAGUUAUGUAACUCACUUCGUAUGCUAAAAAUGUUAGACAUAAAUACCCUCUUUCCUAAACCGUAAGCUAUACCAUUUUCGACAGACUUACAACUCUCCUGCACCUUUAGAUAACACCUAUUAUGACCAGAACGGCCGCAAUCACGGGAUGAGACUAUUCCGACGACGUCAGACUUGGUAAGUAACAUAGUGUGCAUACGCGUCUGCUAUGUGACUGCUAGCGUGUUCGUGUAGUUGCACGUGUCGUCCCUAAACUACUUCUUAAACUCCGUCUUGUUACACUUGGAACGAUUUCACGUGUUGUAAUCCGUCAAAGGAACCCAGCUACCUCUUACACGGAAAGUGUUUUUCUCGAAGUUCCUCGAACACACCGUUUUAUUCGACGCUCGUUGGCCGACUACUACAAUCAAUUUGCUACCUCCACAAACGCCUCGAACCAAGUUUCCUAGGAGUGAAGUGUAUAGUACAUGUCCGGCUAUUCCUCCCUUCCUAUUUGCGUGAGCACACCCGUUUACCCCUGUCAUCCGACCACGUUUUUUCUGACAUCGAAUAAGAGUUUAAAAGACAGAGAUUAUGACUUAAACCACACAUGGCUAUUUAGUACAUCGCACACUCUAGGUAGUACGUCAAAUUGACGAUUAGGGUUAAUACAAUACGUACGGGACUUCGACUACUUAAACACAAGAGGAUAUGACUUUA